This 73-nucleotide small RNA is filed under the name Muricoccus pecuniae. RNAcentral's name for it is "Roseomonas sp. N75 Makes More Granules Regulator RNA (mmgR)". It matches the Rfam family "Makes More Granules Regulator RNA (mmgR)". Rfam says of the family: SuhB later renamed mmgR (makes more granules regulator) was a putative non-coding RNA found multiple times in the Agrobacterium tumefaciens genome and related alpha-proteobacteria. The record is from Rfam by way of RNAcentral. Lineage: Bacteria; Pseudomonadati; Pseudomonadota; Alphaproteobacteria; Acetobacterales; Roseomonadaceae.
GUUUGCUGUUUUCUUGGACGUUUCCUCCCUAAACUCGGCGGUGCCCUCGGGCACCGCCUUCCUUUUCCGGAGG